ACUCAAAGGAAUAGACGGGGACCCGCACAAGCGGUGGAGCAUGUGGUUUAAUUCGAGGCUACGCGAAGAACCUUACCCAGGCUUGACAUGGUUAAGACAGCUGGUGAAAGCCAGUCUCUCCGCAAGGAGCUUUUCCACAGGUGCUGCAUGGCUGUCGUCAGCUCGUGCUGUGAAGUGUUGGGUUAAGUCCCGCAACGAGCGCAACCUUUAUCUUUAGUUGCCAUCAUUAAGUUGGGCACUCUAGAGAGACUGCCGGUGAUAAACUGGAGGAAGGAGGAGACGACGUCAAGUCAGUAUGGCCCUUAUGCCUGGGGCUACACACGUGCUACAAUGGCCGCCACAAUGGGCUGCGAACCCGCGAGGGGGAGCUAAUCCCAAAAAAACGGCCCCAGUUCAGAUUGCAGGCUGCAACUCGCCUGCAUGAAGUCGGAAUCGCUAGUAACGGUACAUCAGCAUCGGUACCGUGAAUACGUUCCCGGGUCUUGUACACACCGCCCGU
This 499-nucleotide ribosomal RNA is filed under the name uncultured bacterium. Its description in RNAcentral is "partial 16S ribosomal RNA". It matches the Rfam family "Bacterial small subunit ribosomal RNA", at positions 899 to 1397 of the family's 1533-position model. The record is from RNAcentral.